This 776-nucleotide non-coding RNA is filed under the name Nannochorista philpotti. The record is from RNAcentral. Lineage: Eukaryota; Metazoa; Arthropoda; Insecta; Mecoptera; Nannochoristidae.
UAUUCUUGAUACGGAGUGUGGGAUUUUGGAGAAUAAAAGUUUUAUCCUUGCUUAAGAUAUUUAUUUUUAGUUUAUUUUCACAUGUACAUUUUUGUUUGAAUUUAUUUUUAAUCUAAAUGAUUAAAUUUUAAUUUAUUCGCAGUGGUUAAUUUUAAUUAUUAAAGAAAUUUAGAAUUAGUAAUGUUAAUUAUUAUUGGCAAAUUUCGUGCCAGCUGCCGCGGUUAUACGAAAAAUGUAAAUAAAUAUUAUUAGUGAAUAGUUAAUUAUUUUAUUUAAAUAAAAAUUUGUUUAAUUAAGUGAAAUUUUUUAAUAAAAAUUAUUUAAGAGUUUAAAAUGAAACUAUGAAAUUUAAUUAAUAAACUAGGAUUAGAUACCCUAUUAUUUUAAAUGUAAAUAAUUGAUACUAAAGUAGUAAUAGCUAUGUGCUUGAAACUUAAAGGAUUUGGCGGUAUUUUAGUCUGUUCAGAGGAACCUGUUCCGUAAUCGAUAAUCCACGUUAAAUCUUACUUAAUUUAGUUUUCAGUUUGUAUACCGUCGUCGUCAGAAUUUUUUAAAAGAAUUAUAAUUUUCUAGGUUUUAUUUUAGAAGUGAUGUCAGAUCAAGGUGCAGUUAAUAAUUAAGUGGAAAUGGGUUACAAUAAAUUUAUUUAUAUGAAUAAGAAAUUGAAAUAUUUUUUUUGAAAGUGGAUUUGAUAGUAAAUUAAUUGAUAAUUUUUAAUUGAUUUUAGCUCUAAAAUAUGCACAUAUCGCCCGUCGCUCUCGUUAUUUAAAUUGAGA